Non-coding RNA from Paramuricea clavata, 548 nucleotides. The record is from the annotation of a GenBank genome assembly. Lineage: Eukaryota; Metazoa; Cnidaria; Anthozoa; Malacalcyonacea; Plexauridae.
GCAUGUACGGUCUCACAGAUUUUGACAUAUCGCAGUAUGUUGAAGUUACAACGGGAAGGACACGCGCGGCCACUUCUGGUCUUCUGAGAACACAAGCAUGCAAAACAAGUACAUUUCAAAGUUCGUAUUGUGUUAGAAUUGUUAAACUGUGGAACUAUGUUUGUACGUCUGCUCCUUCGUAUUGUUAUGUCACUGUCUCCUCUUUUAAGUCAUACUUGCGCAAUACUUACAUCCACCUCACUAGUACUUCCUACACUCCUGACUUACCUAGUUCACACUCACUUAUCACGACUCAAUAAAAAAUAUCUAACAUUUCUCUCCUUGUCUUUUCAUUCUUUCUGCUUUUUCAUUCUCUUAGUCUUUUCAUUUAAUCUUCCUUGUCUUUGUUUCUUGUCUUUGUUUGUUGUCUAGUGGUGAGCACCUUGCAUGGGACAUAGUCUCGUUUGUGUUUCGCCACUUUUGGCACUUUCCUCGUCUUCUUGUACAAUGUAAUUGUCCGUUUAAGUUAUGUAAAUAUUCAGUUUUUUAUGUGCCAAAUUAAAGUUGUU